This 379-nucleotide ribosomal RNA is filed under the name uncultured archaeon. RNAcentral describes it as "bacterial SSU rRNA". It matches the Rfam family "Archaeal small subunit ribosomal RNA", at positions 471 to 851 of the family's 1478-position model. The record is from RNAcentral.
UAAUACCAACCCCCCGAGUGGUAGGGAUGAUUAUUUGGCUUAAAGCGUUCGUAGCCGGCUUGGAAAGUCUUCCAUUAAAUCCAGCGUUCAAGCGUUGGGCUGUGGAAGAAACUUUCAAGCUAGGAGGCGGAAGAGGUCGACGGUAUUCCUAGGGGAGGGGUGAAAUCCUAUAAUCCUAGGAGGACCACCAGUGGCGAAGGCGGUCGACCAGUACGCGCUCGACGGUGAGGGACGAAAGCUGGGGGAGCGAACCGGAUUAGAUACCCGGGUAGUCCCAGCUGUAAACUAUGCAGGCUAGGUGUUGAAACGGCUACGAGCCAUUUCAGUGCCGCAGGGAAACCGUUAAGCCUGCCGCCUGGGGAGUACGACCGCAAGGUUG